UUCCCCUAGUAACGGCGAGUGAAGCGGGAAGAGCUCAAAUUUGAAAGCUGUUGCCUUUGGUAACCGCAUUGUAAUCUCGAGAUCUGUUUUCCGCGCUGGACCAUGUACAAGUCCCUUGGAAUAGGGCGUCAUAGAGGGUGAGAAUCCCGUACUUGACAUGGCCUCCCAGUGCUUUSUGAUACAGGCUCAACGAGUCGAGUUGUUUGGGAAUGCAGCUCAAAAUGGGUGGUAAAUUCCAUCUAAAGCUAAAUAUUGGGGAGAGACCGAUAGCGAACAAGUACCGUGAGGGAAAGAUGAAAAGCACUUUGGAAAGAGAGUUAAACAGUACGUGAAAUUGUCAAAAGGGAACCGUUUGAAGUUAGUCAUGCUUGCCUGGACUCAG
Molecule: ribosomal RNA, 382 nt
Filed under: Entyloma piepenbringiae
Lineage: Eukaryota; Fungi; Basidiomycota; Exobasidiomycetes; Entylomatales; Entylomataceae
Description: partial large subunit ribosomal RNA
Source: RNAcentral